CCUACGGGAGGCUGCAGUGGGGAAUAUUGCACAAUGGGCGCAAGCCUGAUGCAGCCAUGCCGCGUGUGUGAAGAAGGCCUUCGGGUUGUAAAGCACUUUCAGCGGGGAGGAAGGCGUUAAGGUUAAUAACCUUGGCGAUUGACGUUACCCGCAGAAGAAGCACCGGCUAACUCCGUGCCAGCAGCCGCGGUAAUACGGAGGGUGCAAGCGUUAAUCGGAAUUUCUGGGCGUAAAGCGCACGCAGGCGGUCUGUCAAGUCGGAUGUGAAAUCCCCGGGCUCAACCUGGGAACUGCAUUCGAAACUGGCAGGCUAGAGUCUUGUAGAGGGGGGUAGAAUUCCAGGUGUAGCGGUGAAAUGCGUAGAGAUCUGGAGGAAUACCGGUGGCGAAGGCGGCCCCCUGGACAAAGACUGACGCUCAGGUGCGAAAGCGUGGGGAGCAAACAGGAUUAGAUACCCCUGUAGUC
Molecule: ribosomal RNA, 465 nt
Filed under: uncultured Klebsiella sp.
Lineage: Bacteria; Pseudomonadati; Pseudomonadota; Gammaproteobacteria; Enterobacterales; Enterobacteriaceae
Description: bacterial SSU rRNA
Rfam family: Bacterial small subunit ribosomal RNA
Source: RNAcentral